GAUAGGCUAAUUAAAGGCGUAUGGGGAAUGCCUAGGCUCUCAGAGGCGAUGAAGGACGUGAUAAGCUGCGAAAAGUUACGGGGAAUGGCACACACAUUUUGAUCCGUAAAUAUCCGAAUAGGGAAACCUGUCUGUUUGAAGAACAGUCAUCCAUCUUGUAUGGAAGCAAACCCGGAGAACUGAAACAUCUAAGUACCCGGAGGAAGAGAAAGCAAUAGUGAUUCCGCUAGUAGUGGCGAGCGAACGCGGAAUAGCCCAAACCUAUGUUGUUA
RNAcentral lists this ribosomal RNA (272 nucleotides) under uncultured Flavobacteriaceae bacterium. RNAcentral describes it as "partial 23S ribosomal RNA". It matches the Rfam family "Bacterial large subunit ribosomal RNA", at positions 1 to 285 of the family's 2925-position model. The record is from RNAcentral. Lineage: Bacteria; Pseudomonadati; Bacteroidota; Flavobacteriia; Flavobacteriales; Flavobacteriaceae.